AUUGAACGCUGGCGGCAUGCCUUACACAUGCAAGUCGAACGGCAGCACGGGAGCUUGCUCCUGGUGGCGAGUGGCGAACGGGUGAGUAAUACAUCGGAACGUACCCUGAAGUGGGGGAUAACGUAGCGAAAGUUACGCUAAUACCGCAUAUUCUGUGAGCAGGAAAGAGGGGGAUCGCAAGACCUCUUGCUUUAGGAGCGGCCGAUGUCGGAUUAGCUAGUUGGUGAGGUAAAGGCUCACCAAGGCGACGAUCCGUAGCGGGUCUGAGAGGAUGAUCCGCCACACUGGGACUGAGACACGGCCCAGACUCCUACGGGAGGCAGCAGUGGGGAAUAUUGGACAAUGGGCGCAAGCCUGAUCCAGCAAUGCCGCGUGUGUGAAGAAGGCCUGCGGGUUGUAAAGCACUUUCAGUGGGGAAGAACGGAUACGGGCCAAUACCCCGCAUCACUGACGUUACCCACAGAAGAAGCACCGGCUAACUCCGUGCCAGCAG
RNAcentral lists this ribosomal RNA (493 nucleotides) under uncultured bacterium. RNAcentral describes it as "bacterial SSU rRNA". It matches the Rfam family "Bacterial small subunit ribosomal RNA", at positions 30 to 514 of the family's 1533-position model. The record is from RNAcentral.